Molecule: long non-coding RNA, 7885 nt
Filed under: Glycine max (soybean)
Lineage: Eukaryota; Viridiplantae; Streptophyta; Magnoliopsida; Fabales; Fabaceae
Description: long non-coding RNA (GMAX_LNC002132)
Source: RNAcentral
UUAGUAAUAUGAAUGAGGUGAAUUACAUACCUUGUAGAGGACAACAUAUUGGGCACUGAGUUGGAAUUGGCGGAGGGCUGGGAGGGUGAGGCUGUUGAGGGUACUAAUGCGACCAGCUUUAGGGUUGUAGAAGUCAGCGCGUGAAGGGCGAGCAAUGUUCUCGUGAAGCUUCAAGGUGCAGAUAUUUUCCUCAACCCCGUUUCUUGUCUCGCAUCCUCUUUCACGUGGUUCUUCUUGUCUAGGUCUUCUGGGUUGUGUCUUUUUCGAUCUCCAUUCGCGGCUCUUGCGAGGUUGAUCUUCAUCUUCAUCUUCGUCCUCGUCCUGGUCCUGGUCUUGUUCACGCUUUCCUUGGCUUGGUCGACUAGGACGAGGUUUAUCUUCAUCUUCGUCCUCGUCCUCGUCUUGUUCACGCUUUCCAUGGCUUGGUCGGCGAGGAGGGUGAGAGGGAAUUUGUUCAUCUUCAUCAUCUUCGUCUUCAUCUUCAUCUUCAUCUUGUUGUUCUUGCCACUUGGGGCUGAUAACGCUGAGACCUCCUUCCACUGUCACGAUCUGCUUCCUUUCGUCGUCUGGAGACUGAAGUUUCUCAGCUAUGUCCUCGUUGGUGUUGAAGGAUUGUGCCAAGAAGUGUUUGCUGAAGCCACUGAGCACGCUGCCACCUUCUUCCUCUUCCUCCUGCUGGUGUUGCCCCUGCUUGCGUCCACCAUGACUUUUCUGCUGUUGUUGUUGUUGCAUGGUCUCUGGGUACUCUAUAUCUGGGUUCCCAGCAAGGUAAAAUACCUGAAAGUGAAAAAAUUAACAAGUGAGGAGAACAUGGUUUUUGUUAAUAGUAAAUGAAAUUGAAUUGAUAAUUACCCUAGGGGUUUGAUCAAGCUGGUUAUUGAAGUUAGAGGUGUCAAGAAGACUGAUGGCAACAACUGGUUCAUCGCCAGUGUUAUAGGUCCAGUAAGGAACACCAGGAGGAAUCACGAGUACGUCUCCUUCAUUGAAGUGACGAAUCUUCUGGUGACUGUCCUGUAGCUGCUGCUUCUGCGACCUUGAGCCUCUUCUGUUUGAUUGUUCUUGUGGCUCCUCAAACGUCUCAGGACAUCCUGGAAUUGCAACUCCAAGUGCUCCUUUCCCUGUACAUCAAUCAUCACCAAACAAAACAAUCACAUUUUUAUUUAAUCAGAUAUCUUAGUUGAUAUAUAUAACUUAAUAAAACUUUUAAGGUGAUUGAUAUGUCAACAAAGUCAUUCUAUAUAUAAUAAUAAUAAUUUGUAGUUAAAUAAUCAUGUAAAAUUUACUAUAGAGAUACUAUUUACUUAAAUCAUUAUUAUCUUUAGUAAAUGAUCUAUGGUAAUGUGAUGUUGAAAUUUGAACAAGUGGUGACAAAUGGAUUAAUAUACACUGAGAAAUGCUGGUGAUACUCUUUCUGAUAUGUGUGUUAGAAGCACUCCUUAUAUAUGAUUACCUUGGGCGAUGAUGAUCAUCCGGGGAUAAGGUGAGUAAGAUGGCAAGUGGAGGCCAUUGCGGUUGAGGGUGAGUUUGGAAACAGUGACACCGGCGCAUUUCAGCUCAGGGUGUUGAGAGUUCCAUGUUUGAAUCAAACCACCUUCGGACUCAACGCGGUGGUCGGGUUCCAACGCGUUGAGGUUGUUGAGUUGGCACUCGUUGAGCUUGCUGGAGCUAAUAGCAAAGCAUGCACUCGACAAGAGUAGCAAGCAAAGGGAAGAAAGAGAGAGAGUGAAGGGCUUCCCCAUAUUGAACUAAGGAAGUGUUAAUAAUUAAGUUUGAAGGAGUUGGUGAAUUGGAAAGAACAUGAGGAGUGGUGAUUUAUAGGUAUGAGAGGAGAGUGACUGAGGGACACGUCAAUGAAUAAGGGUUGCUGAGUUUGUGACAUUCUUCACCUUGCAUGGCUAUUGUUUCCAAUUUUGUUACACCUCAUACAUAAGCAUGCAUGCUUCGUUUAUAUUUGCAAUGGUACAAUGAACAACACCAAAAUUGGAGGCACUCUGAAUGGUCCCCUCCUACAGAUUCUCCGCGUCUCAAAGUCUAUCCUCUUAUACAAUAUGAGAAUAUCAGAUCAAUAUUGUUCUAUUCAGUUCAUCAUGUAUAUUUUUAUACAAUUUCGUUUAUAAAUGAGAUAAGCUGAUUAAAAAUGUGAAAUAAAAUAAAUAAUAUUACAGUAAAAGAUAAAAGAAAAAGGUUAUAGAAACUGUUAAAUAUUUUUCUUAUAACCAUUAGUAUAUAUCAUCGAUCUUUCAUAUGAUGCGUUAAUUAUUAAAAAACAAAUCCACAAUAUAUAAUCUUUGCCUGAAUCCUCCAGCAUAAUUGUCUCUGUAAAGAUAUAUAUUAAAUACUAUGGUGUGUUAAGAAUCCUUCUCAAUUUGAACUGUUUUACUGUGCAUUUUGUCAGUACUAUGAUCUUAUAUUGUAUAGUAACGGCGCCUCCUCUUUUCCCACUCAAGACUCAACGUUUGUAAAUAAUGAUUUUUUCUUCUGCAUUAAGUAUAUUUUCAGUUGAGAGAUGAAUCCUUAUUACAUGAAUAAUUAUAACUAUAUACAAAUUUUCUCUUUUAUUUUUCUCUCUUUUCUUAUCAUAUUAUUUAGUACAUUUUAAUAUUUCUCCCUUUUCUUUUUUAUAUCUCUCUCCCCGAAACAAUUAUCUUUUUAAAAUUCUCUUAAAAAAAUUGAAACAGAUAAACAAUUAUUUCUUUAAAUUGAAGAAACAUUUAGUAAGUUUAAUUUCAUGCAUUACUAGAUAACUAGGAAGAGCACUCAAAAUAUUCAGAGAGGAUGAGAAGGUGAGUACACGUAUAGAGGGUAACAGCUCUUCUGCACGUGUGCAUAUGCAUGGCUAUCAUAUGAUAUAAAUUACGUACACGUGCCUCCCUUAUUUUAUUCGGAUAGUGAAUUUGGGCUACAGUCUAAAAAAUACAGAGGCGUCGAUUUUAUGCGUAUAUAUAUACGAUUGAUCGGUGGAUCUAGCUAUCUGAGUAAUGUUUGGAUUACAGGAUUAUAUAAGUGAGAGACAGAGAAGCAUGAAUAAUUGAUUAAAGACUGGGACCAUGUCUGAACUAUUUUAUUCAAUACAAGAGGAAUAAAUUAAUGUUAACAGUGGAUCACAAAUUUAGUGAUAAUUUUUCAAAAUUAUAUAUAAAUUACUUCGUUACUAAUUUUAUUUUUUCUUAAAAACUCACUUAGAAUUAUUCAUAUAUUGAAUUUUUUAUAUACGAUUAAGUUAAAUACUUUAAAAAUAAUUAUUCUUCAUACUAAUUUUAUUUAACUUAAAUAGGAUUACCUCCUCUUAUGAACGAUAUCAACCCUUGUUAAACUUUAAAAUAAAAAACUUUAACAAUAUUUUAUGCUAUCGAUUAGAUGAUGAGCAUGCAUGUUAUAUAGUUGAUAGACACAAAUUUUACUAGAUUAAAUAUUUUUUAAGUCCUCAACGUAAGUGUCCUUCAUUAAAAAAAUUUACAAACAAAAAAAUCAAACAUAAAUUCUUUUAAUAAAUUAUAUUAUUGUGUGCAUCUAACAAGAUCAACAUUCUAUUCAUAUAGAAUACUUUUUAUUAAUUUCUUUCAUAAAUGAGAUAAAUGGAUAUACAAAAAUAUGUUAAAUAAUAUGACAAUAAAAGAUAAAAAAAAACAAAUAUACAAGUUGUUCUCCAGCUUGUUUUAUAAACAUAGUAUCGUGUUCGUCUCUUUUAUGAAAACAAGUAAUUAUACUACGUACGUUUUUGAGAAUCCUUCACAAUUUGGACUAUUUUAUUGUACAAUAUCUCUCUAUAUGCAAAAGAUCUUAUAAGCAAAGGCGUCUACUUUUUUUUUCCACUCAUCCAGACUACUUGACAUUUGCAAAUGAUGAAUUUUUCUACAUUAAUUAAGGACACAUUUUCAGUUGAGAUAAAUCCUUUUUAGAUAAGUGGUUAUUUUGAUUAUUUUAGAUGAGUGAUUACAAUUAAUUAUAUACCAAUUUUCUCUUUCAUCCUUUAUUUAUUUUACUUUUCUAUCUUAUCAUAUGAUUUAUCACGUUUUAAAUUUUGCAUUUUCUUUGUAUUAUUUUUUCUUUUAUCUUUCUAUAUAUCUUUUUUCCCUAAACAUUUAUCUUUUUUAUAUACUCGUAUACAGUACAAUCGCACUUUAGCGUGCAAAUCCGUUGCUAUCAUAUCAUAUUAAACUUACACGUGGCUCACUUAUUUUAUUUGGCUGGUGAAUUUGAGCUAUAAUUAAGUCAAGAAAACAUAUAGAGGCGUCGAUUUUAUGCGUAUAUAUACGAUGAUCGGUGGAUCUAGCUAUAUAGUAAUGUUUGCAUUUCAAGCAGUGCGGAUCCACACUUAUUUGGGUUGUACAUGUAUAUUUUAUUUUUUAAAUAAAUUGUCUCUCCUAACUUAGAUCUAAAUCUAUCAUUAUUUUAGGAUUAUAUAAGCAUAUGCAGUAUACUGAACAGUGAGAGAAAGAGAAGCAAGAAUAAAUCUUGAAAGAGUACGAUCAUGUCCGAACUAUUAUAUUAGAAGAGGAAUUAUAAUUAUUGUUGGAUAAAUAUUUAUUUUACUCUUUUCAAAGUGGUAAGGAUUCACAACUUGAUUCUUAAAAAAUGAAAAUUUUGAAUUUAAUUUUUAAAUGUAUAAAAAGUAUAACAGAUUGAUUCUUAAAAGAUAAAAAAUUUAAAUUUAAUCCCCUAAAUAUAUAAAAAAUGUGACAAAUUAAUUUUAUCCUUAAUUUUCUUAUGUUAUCCCUAACCUAUCUUGCAUGUUUAAACAAUACAUUCAAUGAUGAUAGUUGACAAUUAUCAUUAUCAUGUGAUUGUCCUUUUUUAAUUUAGUUUUUAAAUUUAAUAAUUUAUUCUCAUUUUAACAUUUGAAAUCACUUAUUAACAUUUUGAUAUCUAAGGUAACUUAUUAUCAUUUUAAUAUUUGAAUAUAAUCAGUUACUAACAUUUUGAUCUCUAAGCUUAAUUAUGUAUUCUCAUUUUGAUUUUUAAAAAUAUUUUUAAAUUUUUAAUUAAAUCUCACAUUACAUAUAAUUAUUAAUUAUUAGCAUACUCAUCAUCAUAUCCUCUUAUUUUCAUUUCACAUCCUUCAUUUUUCACUUUUCUCUUAAAUAAUUCAUCUUGACUUUAUAUUCAUAAUUUGUAUUCAAAGUUGGUUAUUUAUUCAAUUAAAACAUCAAUUCUAAUAAGAAAAUAACAUAAAAACAUCCUUAACAAAUUAUUUAAUUUCCAUCUUAAUAGAAGUGAAAAAAUGUUGUAAUAUUUAUACUGACAUGCAAUAUGAAACUUAAUCAUGAGUUUAAAAAAUUCAAAGAACACUAACCGGAGACAUUGAGUCUGUGGAUUCUCUCCGAGCAGCAGGAACAACCUUGCCCCUGUUAUAUUCUUGCGUGGGGAUAAAACCACUGAAUCCCAACGUGAUUUGCAUGGAAGAAUUUAAGAAUGAAGAUUUAAUUUAACCAUUUGGAGUGUCUCCAUAAAUUUCAUUCAGUCUUGAACUAAUUCUGGAUGUACUUGUGAUUAUACUUUAUGAUGCAUCCUGGUAAAGGAGUUUUAAAACUGCAGUAGGCUCAAGGUGUUUUGUUUUGGAAAUUGGUUCCAGAAAAUUUUGGUUGAGUUUGUUGCCGAGUUCUGCAAUGGAAUAUAAUUAAUUUUAAUUAACUUCCAUAAGCAGAUUCUUAUUCCUUUCACUGACAAAAAUUUCUUAAUCCAGCAACCAAAAUUAAAUAUGAUUAUUAAUCAUUUUUUAUUCAGAAAACUUGAUGCACCCUGAUGCAUUUUCCAUUUUGCUGAUGCAACCAAUUGUCUGCAUUUUGACUACGUUCUUUGUCUAUCUCAAGAUAAACAAGUUAUCCCCCAAAAAUUAUCUACAACUAAUAGAAAAGGACAAGAGGUAAAUAUUACAGAAGUAAUGUUUAUAUAUCAUUACUCAAUAGUACACAAUCAUUCAGUCAAAAUUUUCAUACAACCAAUUGUUGGUUUUUACAAUGAAAGUCAUAUUUAUCAUUUUUUUUUGUUGAUUAACAGUGAAACAAUUUUUACACUGACAAUGAAAUUAAUCUCAAUAAAAAGAAUGCAAGACUUCAAAUAAAUCAAACUCACUGUGGUUGAACUAGGCAACUAGCUGUAAUGUAAAGUAUGUAACAUAAAAUCUUCUAUUCCAUUAAUUCAUGGCUUUGUGUCCCAAAUGUUAAAAAAAAAAACCCAUUAGAAACAUAUGGAUAUGCAAAGAAUCAAUUCUAGCAGUGAGUAAAAGGGGUCUAUUCUGCCAGAAAUUUCAUGUUGGUAUAACUGAGUGUGAAUGUACAAUAUCUUCAAAUCAAAUUGCUACUGUAACAAGAAGAACAUUGGAACAGUGGUUCUAGCUGUAAAUCUAUAGAACAUUUUUUUCUUCUUAUAGGUUCCAUUUUCAACUGUUAUCACUAUCUUCCCAGGUUCACUGAUGUAAAAGGAGUUUCUAGUGCUGCUACCAUCUACACUUUGGUUUUGCAAUAAUACACUGUAUGAGCCUUCAUCAUCUGGAAUGAACUCUUCCUUGUAGGACACAUUCCAUCCCACCACAGUUACAUCCCACAUUAUUGUCACUCCAAGCUAGACACAUUCCAAAAUCAAAUUACAACAAAUAAGCAAAUUAGGCCAACAUGAUAAAUAAUAAUAGAGUUUAAUGUAUAUGUACUAGCUGUAAAACAGUUUUACACUGACAUCCAAUCACAAAUCAUCAUUUUAAUUACUUUAAGAUAAAUGUGAACAAACUUAUCAUAUAUGAUGGAUUGUAAUUAGAUGAUUGUGUACUAUAGUGCAUAAUCAUUUUUCUCAUAAUAAUAAUACUUUUACGUGCAUGUGCACAAGUGCAUUCAAUUUGAAACCAAAAAAAAUCAUGUAUAUACCUCUUUGACCGGAAAUUCAACUUUCGAAACCGUACUUCCUUUGAUUUUAUGCUCUGAAACCUUAUCAGAAGGUGAAAAAUCUUCAUCAUUGUUCCUCCUUACACCACCAUAUUCAGUUGGAAGGUGCUCUGGGGCUAUAAACCUUCACAAAUGACAAUGUUAAUUAACGGUGGUUGAAUUAGAUAAGAUUGAGAGAAUGGAACCUAAACACUUACUUAAGAAGUGUCUGUGUGACCUUCUGUGGCCUAGCUAAGAUGAACUUCUUUUUAUUUCUCUGAUUCAUGAACCUUGAGAAUAGCACUUGAGAAGUGUAGAACCAAAAUGGAGCAUAUACUAUAAUCUGCAAAAUUAAAUAUAAAAAAAAUGGGGGAAAGAAAAAUCAAUCAGCAUUCUGCAGUUUCAAUUUAGAUUGAAGACAUAAUAGCCAAUAUGCUCUAUUAUACAUUUAUAAACUAACAUUUUUGUGAAUGAUCUCAGGGUAGUAAUUCUGAAACAAAAUUAGAGCCCUUUUGCUGAGUGAGUUGAGCUCCUUGGUUCCUUGCAUUGGUGUGUUCCUCAAAUCAAAAACCUGAAGUACAGAGUUCACUCCUCCUUCCCUAAAGCAAAGCUUCUUCACAGCCUUUUCAAUCAAUUGAAUUCUCCACCUCAAAUACUUGUCACAUUUGUUAUCUGAUCCAAAGGUCUUCUUAUAGAUGCGCCUGUCUUUGAAAAUCCCACAAACAUGGUAACACACAGGACGACCUUCCCUAUCUUUACUGCACAAGAAUCCUGCAUUAUUAUUUCCAAACUCAGCCCCCAAAUCCUCAUCAAUGAUCCUAUCAACGUUGUUCUCGCGCCGCCACACAAGUGUCUUCUGCAGCAUGUCAAAUGCCUCACUCACCUUGAAAUCCUUGGCCUUCAAGAAUUUCCUCAAAACAACAUCAGUUCCCUUAUGAGCCUUGCUUGGCAACAAAGGAACGCCCCAGAGAGUAAUCUCUCUAAUCUGUUCCCUUGCCACUACUAUUUCUUGUGGCGCAAGUUUCUCAUGA